RNAcentral lists this transfer RNA (72 nucleotides) under Bos taurus (domestic cattle). It matches the Rfam family "tRNA". From Rfam's summary of the family: Transfer RNA (tRNA) molecules are approximately 80 nucleotides in length. Their secondary structure includes four short double-helical elements and three loops (D, anti-codon, and T loops). RNAcentral also lists the same sequence under 2 other names. Lineage: Eukaryota; Metazoa; Chordata; Mammalia; Artiodactyla; Bovidae. The record is from Rfam by way of RNAcentral.
CUUUUGCUGGCUCAGAUGGUAAAGCAUCUGCCUGCAAUGCAGGAGACCCAGGUUCCAUCCCUGGGUUAGGAA